GUUCGAGAAAAUCCACAGGCCACACUGAUACCAUGCAGGGUUUUCUCCCGAAACCGCCCCCAGUAUCCUCCUUUCCUCUCCCACAAAACCCACCUAUAUAUUCCUUCCAUUUCCUCUGCUCCUCACAUCAAGCACAAACAAACAGAGCCCAUUUCUUUUCUUUAUUCCCCUCUCUUAGUCUUCUGCUUUCUCGUUGAAGUAUUCAAAACAGUAACCAAAACAGAAAAAAAUUCUCCUUCUCAUGGACACCAAAAUUGGAUCUAUUGACACCUGCAAGCCCACCAACAGCGACAUGUGCAGCCCAGCAAACGGUGCCGUCUCCACCAUCCAAAAUUCAGUCUCCCCCGCCGUGAUCAACUCUACGGAAUCCACUCUCGGUCGCCAUCUUGCUCGUCGGCUUGUCCAAAUCGGCAUCACUGAUGUUUUCUCUGUUCCCGGUGACUUCAACCUUACUCUUCUGGACCAUCUCAUAGCAGAGCCUGGGCUUAACCUCAUUGGCUGUUGUAACGAGCUCAAUGCUGGAUACGCUGCCGACGGUUACGCACGGUGUCGUGGAGUUGGCGCUUGUGUUGUUACGUUUACUGUGGGUGGACUUAGUGUUCUCAAUGCAAUCGCUGGUGCUUACAGUGAAAAUCUGCCUGUGAUAUGCAUUGUUGGAGGGCCUAACUCCAAUGAUUAUGGGACUAACAGGAUUCUGCACCAUACCAUUGGGUUGCCUGAUUUCAGCCAGGAGCUACGGUGUUUCCAGACUGUUACCUGCUUCCAGGCUGUGGUGAAUAACUUGGAAGAUGCUCAUGAGCUGAUCGAUACUGCUAUAUCGACUGCUUUGAAAGAAAGCAAGCCUGUUUAUCUCAGUAUUAGCUGUAACUUGCCUGCGAUCCCUCAUCCUACCUUUAGCCGGGAUCCAGUUCCAUUUUCACUCUCUCCCAGAUUAAGCAACAAAUUGGGUUUGGAGGCUGCGGUUGAAGCAGCGGCGGAUUUCUUGAACAAAGCAGUGAAACCAGUUCUGGUGGGUGGGCCUAAACUUAGGGUUGCACAGGCAUGUGAUUCCUUUGUUGAAUUAGCUGAUGCUAGUGGUUAUGCCCUGGCCGUGAUGCCAUCAGCUAAAGGGCUCGUGCCAGAAUUUCAUCCCCACUUCAUUGGAACUUACUGGGGUGCUGUGAGCACUGCCUUCUGUGCUGAGAUUGUGGAAUCCGCUGAUGCUUACUUGUUUGCUGGACCCAUUUUCAAUGACUAUAGCUCUGUUGGAUACUCCCUCCUUCUCAAGAAAGAGAAGGCAAUUAUUGUGCAGCCUGAUCGAGUGGUGAUUGCAAAUGGACCUGCAUUUGGAUGUAUUCGGAUGAAAGAUUUUCUCCUGUCCCUUGCGAAGAGGAUCAAGGCCAAUACUACUGCAUAUGAAAACUACCGCAGAAUUUUUGUUCCCGAGGGACAUCCAUUGAAAAGUGAACCUAAAGAACCACUGAGGGUUAAUGUCCUCUUCCAACAUAUACAGAAAUUGCUGUCUAGUGAAACUGCUGUGAUUGCUGAGACAGGGGACUCGUGGUUUAACUGCCAGAAGCUGAAAUUGCCAAGGGGAUGCGGGUAUGAGUUCCAAAUGCAAUAUGGGUCAAUUGGUUGGUCUGUAGGGGCAACUCUUGGAUAUGCACAGGCUGUGCCAGAGAAACGCGUGAUUGCUUGUAUUGGUGAUGGUAGCUUUCAGGUGACUGCUCAAGAUGUGUCAACAAUGCUGCGAUGCGGACAGAAGUCCAUCAUUUUCCUAAUCAACAAUGGUGGAUAUACCAUUGAAGUUGAGAUCCAUGAUGGCCCGUACAAUGUGAUCAAGAACUGGAACUAUACUGGCUUGAUUGACGCAAUGCACAAUGGUGAAGGCAAUUGCUGGACAGCCAAGGUUAGUUUGGGAACUUGGUUCAUCGUUUUUUUUCUCUAUUUCCAUCAAUGCAUGAAUGCUAAUGGUUUUAAAUGCAAAAUUCUGGUACUAUUUUCUAAUUCUAUCAUUGCAGGUCCAUUGUGAGGAAGAGCUAGUUGAAGCAAUUGAUAAUGCAACUGGACCAAAGAAAGAUUGCUUGUGCUUCAUUGAGGUGAUUGUUCACAAGGAUGAUACUAGCAAAGAACUCUUGGAAUGGGGCUCCAGGGUCUCUGCUGCCAAUAGCCGACCACCAAAUCCUCAGUAGAAUUUAAUUCCACCGUCCAUGUUCCUUUAGAGGGAGAUUUUUUGAGUUUGUGGUGCUUAAUCAGUCUUGCGUAUUCUGAAAUAUCUUGGUUAAUGCUUUCAGUUUGAUGUUCUCCGGACUCUUAAAUCUUAUUUUCUGAUGUGAAUGAGACCCACUCCUGUGAGUGAUCAAAUUUAUCACAUUAAAGAGUGUCCAAUGCAUUAAAAUGACAUGAAUGAAAAUGAACCUUGUGGAAAAUUCCAUUAUGGGCCUCUGGAAAGUGCAAAUAUUCUUCCAAAACCCUACUGUGUUAAUUAUUUAGAGUUUUACGUGUGGGCCUCAGAUGACUAGUGGCUUCUGGAAGUCAUGGUCCUUUCAUCCUUUGGCCAAUUUCCGAAUUUGUGGUGGUAAUCUAUCCGAGGAAUAAAAAUAUCGUGCCAGAAGUUUGGAUUUUGAGUUGAUGGUAGACCCAUUCUGCACGGUAGCAACAACUCUUUUUCAAUUCAUAAAUUUCAUCCAAUCUAGACUGCACUGGAAAACAUUUUGUCAAUUGAUAUGCAUUCCUUUGAAUUUUCUCCAGUCAAGACAAGUGGGCAUCUAUUAAACCAACUCAUGUUUUGGAUGCUAGCUUCUCCCACGUGGAAAUGUAUCCUAGG
RNAcentral lists this unclassified non-coding RNA (2806 nucleotides) under Hevea brasiliensis (rubber tree). Lineage: Eukaryota; Viridiplantae; Streptophyta; Magnoliopsida; Malpighiales; Euphorbiaceae. The record is from RNAcentral.